RNAcentral lists this long non-coding RNA (596 nucleotides) under Pan paniscus (pygmy chimpanzee). RNAcentral's name for it is "lncRNA (ENSPPAG00000044413.1)". The record is from RNAcentral. Lineage: Eukaryota; Metazoa; Chordata; Mammalia; Primates; Hominidae.
GUCAGGCCCAGGUGGGAGUCCGGGCUGGGUGUGCCAGAGGGGCAAGGCAGAACCCUUAGCUCCUCCUGCUGCCCCAGGGCCUGAGUUGGGGCAGGAAGGCAGGGAAGAGGCCCACGGUGCCCGAGCAAAGCUGUCCCCCGUAAGCCUCUCUGUUCGCUCUUCCUGACGCCCUCUCGCCCUCCUGCCCUCUGCCCCUCCUGGGGGAGAUACAGCCUCUGUUCACACUUGUGUGCCAGCAUGCCUGUCUGUCCAGGGCCCUUUGAUGCCACCAACACCUGACGAAGGCAGGCUGGGUGCUGCCGUGCCCCCAUUUUAAAGAUGAGGAAACUGAGGCUGAGAUGGGUGAAGUAACCACAACCUGACCCAGGAAGGGCCAGGCCCACCUCUGGCAGUGGCCCUGAUGCUGAUGAAGAUGUCUUGGAAAGGAAAAGCACUCUCCUCGAUCAAUCCCUGCAGCUGCUCGGCAUGGAUGGCAGGACUCACACACAGCCCGUCUGCUCCUGUCCAGGCUGAGGACUGUAACCGAAGCCUAUUAGCUGACCGGGAGGGAUAAAUCCAGCUCCUCUGACAACUGCUUCUCGCUGGUCUUCUCUGGG